Long non-coding RNA from Triticum dicoccoides, 549 nucleotides. RefSeq lists it as uncharacterized. Lineage: Eukaryota; Viridiplantae; Streptophyta; Magnoliopsida; Poales; Poaceae. The transcript is spliced from 2 exons. The record is from RefSeq and is a predicted model, not a curated record.
CCGGGGCGUGCCGGGAGUGCGGCCGGGGACUCGUGGACGCCAACUUCCGUUUCUGCUCACUGAGCUGCAAGCUUGAUGGAAUGGUGUCAGAUCCCAAUUUGACAUUCAUGAUUGAUCCGAGGCGCAACCGGGGAAAUUCGGGCUCAAACACAGAAGAUGAAGGCGAGGACGAUGAUCUGCCGGGGCCUAGCGACCCUCCGCUGGGAUGGAUCAGCUACCGCCGCCGGCCCCGGAAGGGUGUCCCUGAACGGGCACCCUUCUAUUGAUCUUGGUUGUUUUUGGUCAGUUGUCACCAAUUUCGACAUUGUUUCCAUUUCUGCGUCAUUUCAAGAACAACAACGUUUUCAUUAGAGACAUGUUGAUCUUUUCCCUCUCAUGAUCUAGAGAUGGGAAAAAGACUGAUAUUUCCAUUGGUUCAAUAAUGGUGAGGUAGCUGCCUCGAAGAUACAUUAUGCAUGUUGUAAUGUCAGUGUCUCGUACUUAUUUGAAAUAUUGUGGAUGCUCUAUUGCCAUGGUCUUGGUAUUUCUAUUUUAUAAUGGAUCCUAUGA